ACAUGUACUUUUACCUUUUUGCACUUAAGUGACAACAUGAAUGAUGGCAUAAAAAUUACUGGCAUGGCAUUGAUGUCAGCAUGCCACAUCAACACCACAUCAUACAUAGCGCCACAUCAGUAUGCCAUGUUAAUGUCAUUUAAUAUUGUUAGCAAUUUAUUCUUAUGGUGCAAACGAAGCCAAAGUUCAUGUCCUUAAUUGUAACAAAACAAAGUAUAUGUCCUUAUUGCUAAAAAAGCCAAAGUGUAAGGUACUAAAGUAUAGUUUGCCCUAAUUUAUUAAAUUAAGUAUGUGAAUAUAUAUUUAUAAAAUGCAUGAGUAUGUCAAAAACAUAAAUAAAAUUGAAAUUACAAAAAAAAUUGAUGCUACUCGCCCAAAUCCUACUCAUUCGUAAGAUGUUCACUAGCUCAGUAGGAAUAACAUUGUUCGCCUAUGAGACGUUCGCCCGUCCAGCAGGUAGAAGGACGUUCACCCACUAGCCCAUGGGACGUUCGCUCUUCUAGAUGGUAUAAGGAUGUUUGCCCAUGGAUCAUGCUCACUCAACAGGCAUAAGGGACGCGCGAACAUGUAAGAUCUCCCUCUCAUGGGAGAUCUCCUUCCCAUGGUAGAUCUCCCUCUCCCAAGAGAGGAUUCCAAGAUACUCGUAUGACGAGUUAGAAUCCUAACAAGAGGAUGACUUCUAUACCAACAAGAACUCUAUCAACAGGAUAGUUUGAGAUAUUCGGGGAUUAACCCAUAUCGUGACUCAACACUUCUAAUCCCAUUGGGAAUCUAACUGAUACCAUAUCAUGACUCAACACUUCUAAUCCCAUUGGGAAUCUAACUGAUACCAUAUCA
RNAcentral lists this unclassified non-coding RNA (837 nucleotides) under Hevea brasiliensis (rubber tree). The record is from RNAcentral. Lineage: Eukaryota; Viridiplantae; Streptophyta; Magnoliopsida; Malpighiales; Euphorbiaceae.